UGCUCACCUGGAUUACACUGGAACACCCAUAAGAGGUUGGAAGCCCAUUCAAAACCCUGCAGUCACCCCAGGCUGCUUCUGCAAAGCCAAAGCCCGGUCGCGCCAUUCAAAAGGCCUGCCGGCCUGCCAGCCCAAAAGAGAGUUGGGUCCUGGGGGACGGGGCGGAUCGGCUUACCCUCCCCGAAAACGGGAGAGGAGCACACAAAAGGGCCCGGGCCCCGCCAGGCAGAAACUCACGCUAACCGUAGGUGGCUUCUGCACGUUCCUCGGCAAAGACGAAAACCGGUUAUUUGCC
Molecule: long non-coding RNA, 295 nt
Organism: Anguilla anguilla (European eel)
Lineage: Eukaryota; Metazoa; Chordata; Actinopteri; Anguilliformes; Anguillidae
Exons: 3
Source: RefSeq, a predicted model, not a curated record